This 265-nucleotide ribosomal RNA is filed under the name uncultured bacterium. RNAcentral's name for it is "partial 16S ribosomal RNA". It matches the Rfam family "Bacterial small subunit ribosomal RNA", at positions 793 to 1055 of the family's 1533-position model. The record is from RNAcentral.
GUCCACGCCCUAAACGAUGUCAACUGGUUGUUGGACGGCUUGCUGUUCAGUAACGAAGCUAACGCGUGAAGUUGACCGCCUGGGGAGUACGGCCGCAAGGUUGAAACUCACAGGAAUUGACGGGGACCCCGCACAAGCGGUGGAUGAUGUGGUUUAAUUCGAUGCAACGCGAAAAACCUUACCUACCCUUGACAUGUCUGGAAUUUUGCAGAGAUGUGAAAGUGCUCGAAAGAGAGCCAGAACACAGGUGCUGCAUGGCCGUCGU